AGUAAACCCCAUUUCCCAUUUUCCUUUUCCCAUUUCCCUUUUCCCUUUUCCUUCUCCUUCUCCUUCUUCCUCCUUCUUCUGAGAUUUCGAGUGCUUACAAGCGAGAUUCAUCCUCUUCCUCUUGUCUCAAACUGGUUCUUUUCUUUUCCUUCUUCUCUGUGCAGCAGAAUCCGGCAAUGGGCAGCAGACUCGGCCUUCACCGAACCAAGAACACCACUUCUCACGGUGGUUCUGCAACCAAGAACAAACUAAGGAGACGACGUCAUCGAGGAACCUUUCUAGUGAUCGCGGAGAAACGGACUUCGCUUCUUGAAGCGUCAUUGUUGUUUACAGAUCGAAUCCUGUCGAGAACGAUGGGUUAGCAAUGUUGAUUAGAGUGCCAAGGAUGUCCUUUUGAGCUGAGCACAUGGGAAUUUGUAGUUUGUAUUAGGAUUUUGAUAAAUGUAUAUAAGUCUUGAUUAUGUUGGUUAUUUUGGACUCGAAGUGAAUUGUGUGUUUACUUUAUGUUUAAGUUAGAUGUUUUGGUUUGAGAAUUUUAGCUGAAUUAAUUACGUCAAAGAGCUGGUGACCCCUUUGCUCAGGUUUUGGAGAUGUGAUUUAAGUUUCUUGGGAAAUGAACCCCGUGAUGACCCUGUUUACCCAGUCAACGGUAAGCCGGGUUGUUACAAUUUAAUCACGAACCUUUAUUUCAGGGUCCGACUUUUUGACAUGGCUGACUAUGCAAAAUAUUUAUUUUCACAAUAAAACCCCUCCCAGAGGGUCCGACUCA
Molecule: long non-coding RNA, 769 nt
Organism: Amaranthus tricolor (Joseph's coat)
Lineage: Eukaryota; Viridiplantae; Streptophyta; Magnoliopsida; Caryophyllales; Amaranthaceae
Exons: 3
Source: RefSeq, a predicted model, not a curated record